Molecule: ribosomal RNA, 511 nt
Filed under: uncultured bacterium
Lineage: Bacteria
Description: bacterial SSU rRNA
Rfam family: Bacterial small subunit ribosomal RNA
Source: RNAcentral
GAUCUGGCUCAGGAUGAACGCUAGCUACAGGCUUAACACAUGCAAGUCGAGGGGCAGCAUUGGAGUAGCAAUACUCAGAUGGCGACCGGCGCACGGGUGAGUAACACGUAUCCAACCUGCCGCUUACUCGGGGAUAGCCUUUCGAAAGAAAGAUUAAUACCCGAUGGUAUAAAGAGUUCGCAUGUUCUCUUUAUUAAAGAAUUUCGGUAAGCGAUGGGGAUGCGUUCCAUUAGAUAGUUGGCGGGGUAACGGCCCACCAAGUCUACGAUGGAUAGGGGUUCUGAGAGGAAGGUCCCCCACAUUGGAACUGAGACACGGUCCAAACUCCUACGGGAGGCAGCAGUGAGGAAUAUUGGUCAAUGGACGAGAGUCUGAACCAGCCAAAAGUAGCGUGAAGGAUGACUGCCCUAUGGGUUGUAAACUUCUUUUAUAAGGGAAUAAAGUGAGGGACGUGUCCCUUUUUGUAUGUACCUUAUGAAUAAGGAUCGGCUAACUCCGUGCCAGCCGCCGC